CGGUGUUCAACUGGCGUGUCCGCGGGACGUCCUGCCGGUGGGCUUAGCCCGCAAGGGCGGCCCAACUUCAAAUCCCAUCGCGGUGCUCUUCACUGAGUGUCGAGGUGGGCCGGCACGUUUACUUUGAACAAAUUAGAGUGCUUAAAGCAGGCUAAAACUUCGCCUGAAUACUGUGUGCAUGGAAUAAUGGAAUAGGACCUCGGUUCUAUUUUGUUGGUUUUCGGAACCCCGAGGUAAUGAUUAAUAGGAACGGAUGGGGGCAUUCGUAUUGCGACGUUAGAGGUGAAAUUCUUGGAUCGUCGCAAGACGGACAGAAGCGAAAGCAUUUGCCAAAAACGCUUUCAUUGAUCAAGAACGAAAGUUAGAGGUUCGAAGGCGAUCAGAUACCGCCCUAGUUCUAACCAUAAACGAUGCCAGCUAGCGAUCCGCCGACGUUCCUCCGAUGACUCGACGGGCAGCUUCCGGGAAACCAAAGCUUUUGGGUUCCGGGGGAAGUAUGGUUGCAAAGCUGAAACUUAAAGGAAUUGACGGAAGGGCACCACCAGGAGUGGAGCCUGCGGCUUAAUUUGACUCAACACGGGAAACCUCACCAGGCCCGGACACCGGGAAGGAUUGACAGAUUGAGAGCUCUUUCUUGAUUCGGUGGGUGGUGGUGCAUGGCCGUUCUUAGUUGGUGGAGCGAUUUGUCUGGUUAAUUCCGAUAACGAACGAGACUCUAGCCUGCUAACUAGGCGUAUUUUCGACAUCUCAAAGGUCCGUCGUCCCGGCCCUCGGGUCGUGGGCGUGCGCGAUUUUUACUGUCGGCGUACUAUCAAUUCUUCUUAGAGGGACAGGUGG
RNAcentral lists this ribosomal RNA (837 nucleotides) under uncultured eukaryote. Its description in RNAcentral is "SSU rRNA". It matches the Rfam family "Eukaryotic small subunit ribosomal RNA", at positions 636 to 1426 of the family's 1831-position model. The record is from RNAcentral.